This 125-nucleotide ribosomal RNA is filed under the name Dasypus novemcinctus (nine-banded armadillo). Lineage: Eukaryota; Metazoa; Chordata; Mammalia; Cingulata; Dasypodidae. The record is from RNAcentral.
CACAAUAGCCAGUUUUCUGCACUACCACCCUGAACACGACUUAUGUUCCUCAUCUCUGAAGCUAAACUGGAUUGGGCCUGGUUAGUACAUGGAUGAGAGACUGAGUAUGUCAGGUGCUUUUGUGG